RNAcentral lists this ribosomal RNA (433 nucleotides) under uncultured bacterium. RNAcentral's name for it is "partial 16S ribosomal RNA". It matches the Rfam family "Bacterial small subunit ribosomal RNA", at positions 29 to 507 of the family's 1533-position model. The record is from RNAcentral.
AACGAACGCUGGCGGCAUGCCUAACACAUGCAAGUCGAACGAGACCUUCGGGUCUAGUGGCGCACGGGUGCGUAACGCGUGGGAACCUGCCCUUAGGUUCGGAAUAACUCCCCGAAAGGGGUGCUAAUACCGGAUAAUGUCUUCGGACCAAAGAUUUAUCGCCUUUGGAUGGGCCCGCGUUGGAUUAGCUAGUUGGUAGGGUAAAAGCCUACCAAGGCGACGAUCCAUAGCUGGUCUGAGAGGAUGAUCAGCCACACUGGGACUGAGACACGGCCCAGACCCCCACGGGAGGGAGGAGUGGGGAAUAUUGGAACAUGGGCGAAAGCCUGAUCCAGCAAUGCCGCGUGAGUGAUGAAGGCCUUAGGGUUGUAAAGCUCUUUUACCCGGGAUGAUAAUGACAGUACCGGGAGAAUAAGCUCCGGCUAACUCCGUG